UCUCCAUACAAGCCAUCCGACAGAUGUGUGGGAGUAUGGGAGUGGGAAGGCUUUAACAGACGCUGCGAACCCACUGCUGACACCAGGGCUCUCGUGUGGGACGAUUUUUCAAGAGGAUUGGCCAGGUGUGCCCUGUUGGGUACAGAACCUUCCGGAUGGCGAGCUAGAUGCAAGAGCCUGAACCCUGUAACACACCCUCUGCAAUCUGGUAGGGGGCUGUUUGCAAGCCAGCCCACUCCCAUCUUUAUUUCUUUUGCCCUGCUCACCGCUCACAUCCACACCAGUUGAAUAGCGCGUAUAUGGACAUUUAUUCAAUUUUCAUGGACUCGGUUUAUUAUUGGACAACUCCUACAUACUGCAUUGUGAAAGGUGAACAGAAUGAUUGUGACCUAACUUGGUGAAAUUGAUGGAGCAAAACUCAACUGGGUUGAGUUUGCAUACUGGCUCGUUACAUGUUGUGAAUCAUUUGGAUGCAAUAAGUCAACUCCUGGAAUUGAAUUUUGUGAACAUGUUUUCCCUUAAUCCUGCAGAUUGUAAAUAUUGUACAUAUUGUAAUUUGUUCCACGUUAUCAUGGUAUAAAUUCACUGAAGGUCAAAAUCUUGACCUAAUGUAAAAAUUUUAGAUGAUAAAGUGCAAUAAAUUUCUAUAAUUUAUAUUUUUAUUCAGACAUUUAUUCAUUUUUUUUCGUUUGAAAAAUCAAGAUGAAAAUAAUCCACUAAACGUCUCUACAAAAACAAAUGUGAGAAGAAAGAAGAAAUAAUGAGUUUAAAAAGUCCACUGGGUGAACAUGGUUGUGCUGGUGGAGUGGAUUUUAAUGAACUGCAAGAUCAGCAGUUUGAUCCCAGGAUUUUCCAUAAUCCUCAUCAUUGGACACUGAACCCCACAUCGUCCCCGAUCACUGUUUUGUUACUGUAGAGAAAAAAUGAAGCAUUCAGUACAAAGACUAUAUGAUAAGUAGCGCUGGGUGAGCUGGUAGAUGAAUGAGUAGAAAGUUCAAAUCUGUUUUGUAGCAUUUAGAUAAAGAUUAGGAGGAAUUAUAUGUAAACUUUUUCUCUACAACAUAAACUCUCCAAUGUUAAUCUGAAUCUAAAAUGAUUACAACAAAUAUUAAUAUAA
Long non-coding RNA from Melanotaenia boesemani (Boeseman's rainbowfish), 1117 nucleotides. RefSeq lists it as uncharacterized. The record is from RefSeq and is a predicted model, not a curated record. The transcript has 3 exons. Lineage: Eukaryota; Metazoa; Chordata; Actinopteri; Atheriniformes; Melanotaeniidae.